GUAGGUGGCAAGCGUUGUCCGGAAUUAUUGGGCGUAAAGCGCGCGCAGGUGGUUCUUUAAGUCUGAUGUGAAAGCCCCCGGCUCAACCGGGGAGGGUCAUUGGAAACUGGGGAACUUGAGUGCAGGAGAGGAAAGUGGAAUUCCACGUGUAGCGGUGAAAUGCGUAGAUAUGUGGAGGAACACCAGUGGCGAAGGCGACUUUCUGGCCUGUAACUGACACUGAGGCGCGAAAGCGUGGGGAGCAAACAGGGAUUAGAUACCCUGGUAGUCCACGCCGUAAACGAUGAGUGCUAAGUGUUGGGGGGGUUUCCGCCCCUCAGUGCUGCAGCUAACGCAUUAAGCACUCCGCCUGGGAGUACGGUCGCAAGACUG
RNAcentral lists this ribosomal RNA (372 nucleotides) under uncultured organism. Its description in RNAcentral is "partial 16S ribosomal RNA". It matches the Rfam family "Bacterial small subunit ribosomal RNA", at positions 527 to 896 of the family's 1533-position model. The record is from RNAcentral.